RNAcentral lists this unclassified non-coding RNA (157 nucleotides) under Homo sapiens (human). RNAcentral describes it as "PHD finger protein 1 (ENSG00000239756.5)". Lineage: Eukaryota; Metazoa; Chordata; Mammalia; Primates; Hominidae. The record is from RNAcentral.
AAGCACGGGGCGGGACGUCCACGGGAAGCGGCGCGCACGCCCGCCGACUCCCUCGCGCCAACCGCCGACGGCCGCCGCCCGGUGAAGGAGGGGCUCAGUCCUCCCAGGUCUCCUACGUCUGCCCCUGCCCGGCUCCCGGCGGCCCCAGCUGUCACCG